GUUUAUAUAGUUUAAAUAAAACAUUUUAUUUUCAAUAAAAAAAUAAUAACCUCUCAUUAUUUAUAAAUU
This 69-nucleotide transfer RNA is filed under the name Dolichovespula saxonica. RNAcentral describes it as "tRNA-Glu". The record is from RNAcentral. Lineage: Eukaryota; Metazoa; Arthropoda; Insecta; Hymenoptera; Vespidae.